Molecule: unclassified non-coding RNA, 213 nt
Filed under: plant metagenome
Description: partial contains small subunit ribosomal RNA, internal transcribed spacer 1, and 5.8S ribosomal RNA
Source: RNAcentral
UUUCCGUAGGUGAACCUGCGGAAGGAUCAUUCAUAAUAAGUGUUUUAUGGCACUUUUUUAAAUCCAUAUCCACCUUGUGUGCAAUGUCAGGGUUGAUUUUUCUCUCGAUAGGAUCAGCCCCAAACAUCAACUAUAUCUCAACUCUUUGUCUGAAAAAUAUUAUGAAUAAAACAAUUCAAAAUACAACUUUCAACAACGGAUCUCUUGGCUCUC